CCUCAAAAUUCAAUUUGGUUUGUAUAUUACAGCAUUUCUAAACGCCUAUAUUCAAGAGAGAGUGAAAUACUAAUUCUAAAGAUUUUAAAGAUACUUUUAAAGAUUUUAAAGAUAAUACUUUAAAAUGGUUGUUUUAAUAAAGGUCACCUAUUGUGGCGCGUGAGGCUACAAACCAAAAUAUGUGAAGCUGAAAAGUGAACUAGAGAAAAAAUUUUCUGGGAAACUUCAGUUUGAAUAUUUUGCAACACCAAAUAGAACUGGUUAUUUUGAAGUGGAAGUUAAUGGUGUUUUAAUACAUUCAAAAAAGAAUGGCGAUGGAUAUGUUGAUACUGCAGCAAAGAUGUCUAAGAUUGAAAAUUCUAUUCAAAGUGCUCUUCAGUGAUCACUUAUAGAAGUUAACAUACAUCAUAUGAAGAAUAUUUCAUGCAGCACCCGUUACAUGUCGUAUGAAAACAAAUGGAUUAAAAGUACUCCGCAUCGGAUAUGAGUCAUUUGUUUGAUAAAAUUGACUAGACGUUUGUAUGCAUGAGAUUUUCAAAUAAUGUUGUGUUUUUAAA
Hydra vulgaris (swiftwater hydra) is the source of this 557-nucleotide long non-coding RNA. RefSeq lists it as uncharacterized. The record is from RefSeq and is a predicted model, not a curated record. Lineage: Eukaryota; Metazoa; Cnidaria; Hydrozoa; Anthoathecata; Hydridae.